This 467-nucleotide ribosomal RNA is filed under the name uncultured bacterium. RNAcentral describes it as "partial 16S ribosomal RNA". It matches the Rfam family "Bacterial small subunit ribosomal RNA", at positions 29 to 507 of the family's 1533-position model. The record is from RNAcentral.
ACGAACGCUGGCGGCGUGCUUAACACAUGCAAGUCGAACGGAAAGGCCCUGCUUUUGUGGGGUGCUCGAGUGGCGAACGGGUGAGUAACACGUGAGUAACCUGCCCUUGACUUUGGGAUAACUUCAGGAAACUGGGGCUAAUACCGGAUAGGAGCUCCUGCUGCAUGGUGGGGGUUGGAAAGUUUCGGCGGUUGGGGAUGGGCUCGCGGCUUAUCAGCUUGUUGGUGGGGUAGUGGCUUACCAAGGCUUUGACGGGUAGCCGGCCUGAGAGGGUGACCGGCCACAUUGGGACUGAGAUACGGCCCAGACUCCUACGGGAGGCAGCAGUGGGGAAUAUUGCACAAUGGGCGGAAGCCUGAUGCGGCAACGCCGCGUGCGGGAUGACGGCCUUCGGGUUGUAAACCGCUUUCGCCUGUGACGAAGCGUGAGUGACGGUAAUGGGUAAAGAAGCACCGGCUAACUACGUG